RNAcentral lists this ribosomal RNA (1227 nucleotides) under Triticum aestivum (bread wheat). RNAcentral describes it as "partial small subunit ribosomal RNA". Lineage: Eukaryota; Viridiplantae; Streptophyta; Magnoliopsida; Poales; Poaceae. The record is from RNAcentral.
AUGGGUGACAAGGAUGCCGCUCCAUCGGGAGUCACGGCAGGGGAGCUUGCAGCGGUGUUGCAAGCCAUGGAUGAUAAAUACAGAUUGUUGUUCGAGGCUAUGAGCAAGCAAGGAGGGAGUUCAAAACCAGAAGCAGAGGUCAAGGAGGAGGUUCAUCCAUUGCAAAUGCCCCUGGUGAAGUUAGAUGGGUCUGAAACCUAUGCAAGUUGGGCAGAGCACGCAGAGACAAUUCUUGUCUCAAGAAGUCUAGAGGGAUAUAUACAUGGGGCAAUUGAAAAACCAGCUGACGAGAACUCCAAGGAAGGCCAGAAGUGGAAGAUGACCAACGCAUUGGUGAGAGCAUGGCUGCUGAGUUCAGUCUCACCUCAAAUUGCUAAGCAGGUGGAAAGGAUUAAGGAGGCGUCAGAAAUUUGGCGGCUACUGAAAGGUACAUAUUCUGGAGUCGGUAAUGAGAUGCUUGCUUGUAAAAUUCAGAAGGAGCUGCAGGGGUUGAGUCAGGGUGACAAAUCAGUUGUGGAUUAUGUGUCCGAAUUGAAGAGAUUGUGGAGUGAGAUUGAUUACUUUGAUCCAAUUGAUAUGGAGUGUGGUAAGUGUAUUGAGAAAUUUAACAAGUGGACGGAAAAGAGACGUGUGAGGGACUUCCUAAAUGGACUUCAUUCUAAGUAUGAAAACAGGAGGGCUGCACUGUAUGGUAGCGGAAAGCUUCCUACACUGGAGCAGGCAAUAUCAGCUAUCAUUAGUGAGGAAACCAGAUUGAAAUUAGAGGCAGCCGGGUCAGUGAUGCAAGGUAUCAUGCAGCGGCGAUCAGCACUCUAUGCAGUAGAGGGUGGAAAUUAUCAAAGGUUGGGAUCAAAUACAACUGAGAAGAAAUGCUUCGAGUGCGGUCAGCCAGGACAUUUGAAGUUUUCAUGCCCUGAGUUAAUGGGAGGCGGCAGAGGAAGAGGGCAGGACUGGCGUGGAAGAGGCCGUGGCCAUGGGCUUGAAGGACGAGGCUACCGUGGGCGAGGUACACGCCCUGCUGCUAAAGCAAACACGUCGGUGAUCACUGAAAAUACCACCCAAACUAUGAGUGUUGAGAUGACUGCUGAGGAUUGGGAGAAGUUGUGCCAAUUCAAGGGGCUUUCUCUAGGUGACAAGACAACUGUUGAAGCGCCUACCUCUGCUGCCUUAGCAAAUUUCGGUGGAACUUGGGACUGGAAGAAGACUUGGGACGGGGAUCAUGCAUGA